Paramacrobiotus metropolitanus is the source of this 996-nucleotide long non-coding RNA. RefSeq lists it as uncharacterized. Lineage: Eukaryota; Metazoa; Tardigrada; Eutardigrada; Parachela; Macrobiotidae. The record is from RefSeq and is a predicted model, not a curated record. The transcript is spliced from 4 exons.
CCCUGUGGCGGACGCACUUGAGGUUACGGCUGGGAUAAAUUCAGCUCAGAAGGACCAAGGUUUUGUCCGUCAUGUUGCGACAUACGCGGGGAUACUCGGACUUAGCCCGUGGCAACAGAGGUUGUUUGCAACACUGUGCGCGCCGAAUGAUGCAUGAAAUCGUUUUGAGAGCGACAAAUCGCUAACUCUUCUUCCAAUUUGGACACCCUUUCUGAUUCUGUUUUCGGUUCGUCCUGGACCUGAUCGAGCUGAGCUUUCAAGGACGAUACUUCAUUUUUUAGAGUGGCACUAGACUGAACAUCCUGAGACUGUGCCAGCUCGGAGCUGCGAAACUCAUCCAACUCUCCUCUGGUAUCUUCCAGGUCAGUGUUCAACUGCUGGAUCUGACCCAUGGACUGGACACUGCUGUUAAAAGAGCCAAUGAGUUUGCGAAUGCUCUUAAACAUCGUGCCGCUUGACUGCCGUGCAACUUGCGCAACAUCAUUAUCCGUUUCUGUCGCUUCAAGUGCUUUAUCGACUUGCACCACCUUCUCCAUGAAUGCGUUAUCGGGAGGAGCAAAAUCUGUUUCCGCCAAAAUUUUUCUCAAAUAUUGCUGUGAAGGAUGGACAACCAUCACUUCUGAGUCUUCAGCAGUAUUGCCAACUACGGCCUGAUUUAACUGACUGUGUUCCGGUGAACCGGCCGCUGACAGGAAAUUUUCUUCACCGGAUAUCGGCGAUUGUACUGCUGAUUCUCUUUUCGUAAUCUUUGAAAAAUCCAUAAGCUUUGCGCCAUCUGACACCACUUCCCGCUGAUCAUCCAAAAGGUUGAGCUGAUCAACUGGAGUGUUAGUUUCCUGUGCCUUAUUUUGAGUCGCCUCUGUCAGUGCAUUUCCACUAGACAAAUCCUGCGUACUUCGCGUUUGACGAGUCGAUUCCAUUGGCUGCGGCUGCCCGCUUGCAGAUACUGCUGCUUUUCGCUCUUCCGUUCUCUUUUUAUACUCGGGAAAUUGUUCA